UACGAAGGGGGCUAGCGUUGCUCGGAAUCACUGGGCGUAAAGCGCACGUAGGCGGCUUUCUAAGUCAGGGGUGAAAUUCUGGAGCUCAACUCCAGAACUGCCUUUGAUACUGGAGAGCUUGAGUCCGGAAGAGGUGAGUGGAACUCCGAGUGUAGAGGUGAAAUUCGUAGAUAUUCGGAAGAACACCAGUGGCGAAGGCGGCUCACUGGUCCGGUACUGACGCUGAUGUGCGAAAGCGUGGGGAGCAAACAGG
RNAcentral lists this ribosomal RNA (253 nucleotides) under uncultured bacterium. RNAcentral's name for it is "partial 16S ribosomal RNA". It matches the Rfam family "Bacterial small subunit ribosomal RNA", at positions 524 to 776 of the family's 1533-position model. The record is from RNAcentral.